Molecule: unclassified non-coding RNA, 551 nt
Filed under: Zea mays
Lineage: Eukaryota; Viridiplantae; Streptophyta; Magnoliopsida; Poales; Poaceae
Description: misc RNA Zm00001eb363320
Source: RNAcentral
UUGCGGCGAAGCGAGCGGCGGGGAAGGGGAGAGGGGCGGCGAGGCCAGAUCCGGGGGGCCAGGCAGAUCCGCGCACCUCGGGAGACCUUGGUGGCCUUGUCCUUGAUGACGGUGACCUCGUCGACGGCGGCUACCUCGCGGAACAAGGCGAGCAGGUCGGCCUCGGCCAUGUGCUUGGGCACCUGGCCCACGAAGAGCUUGACGGUCCUCUCCUCGCCGCCCUCCUUGGCUCCUCCGCCUCCUGCCUCCGCCGCGGCCGCAGACGCCGCCGCGGCCUUGCCCCCGUCCUCCGCCAUUGGACGCUCUGCCUCCCGCCGCUAGUGUUUCCGCCGGCCGGACCGGAGGAUUGCUCGCCGCCGCCGCCGCCGCCGCUACGGGGGGGUUGGGUCGCCUCGUCACGAGCUGUGGGCGGUUGCGCUGCCAAUUGUUUUUUUGGGUUUAGGUUGUGGUGGAAGAGGCGAUGGAGUUGAAGGCGUCGGAAGCGGAGCAGUUUAACUAAUAAUAAUUGCCUAGUGGAUAUGCAUGCCUGCAGUUGGACUGGACACUCCCCU